AGUGAACGCUGGCGGUAGGCCUAACACAUGCAAGUCGAACGGCAGCACAGUAAGAGCUUGCUCUUACGGGUGGCGAGUGGCGGACGGGUGAGGAAGACAUCGGAAUCUACUUUUUCGUGGGGGAUAACGUAGGGAAACUUACGCUAAUACCGCAUACGACCUACGGGUGAAAGCAGGGGAUCUUCGGACCUUUCGCGAUUGAAUGAGCCGAUGGUGGAUUAGCUAGUUGGCGGGGUAAAGGCCCACCAAGGCGACGAUCCGUAGCUGGUCUGAGAGGAUGAGCAGCGACACGGGGACUGAGCCACGGCCCAGACUCCUACGGGAGGCAGCAGUGGGGAAUAUUGGACAAUGGGCGAAAGCCUGAUCCAGCAAUGCCGCGUGAGUGAUGAAGGCCUUAGGGUAGUAAAGCUCUUUGACCCGGGAUGAUAAUGACAGUACCGGGAGAAUAAGCGCCGGCUAACUCCGUG
Molecule: ribosomal RNA, 467 nt
Filed under: uncultured bacterium
Lineage: Bacteria
Description: partial 16S ribosomal RNA
Rfam family: Bacterial small subunit ribosomal RNA
Source: RNAcentral